GCACUGCUGAUGAGACUCAAUCAGGUCGAAAUAGCUGUCCAGUGC
Non-coding RNA from Echinostoma caproni, 45 nucleotides. Lineage: Eukaryota; Metazoa; Platyhelminthes; Trematoda; Plagiorchiida; Echinostomatidae. The record is from Rfam.